AACAAUAUAUUUUUAUUUCUUUUUCUUUUAGUAGUUGGUCAUCUAAGACAACUAUUAAUCACCUCAAUUCAUUUUCUCCUUCCUUCUAUAUUCUUAAUUUGAAUUUCAAAUUUCAAAAUUUUUUUUGAUCCCAACAGCACACAGUACAGAAUUCUCCGUCGCGGGUCUGUGCGUUAAUGGCCAUGCAAAUAUCUUGAUUUUUCAUAAGAGUUUCUAUGAAUAGCCCAUAUCACAUAGUAGCGGCCAUAUACGGAUAAUCUUAUAUAGGUGGUUUCUUCCAGGGAUGUGUAUAGAGUCACAUCUCGCGGAAAUUACCGCUUUGGAUUCCAUUUAGAGCUAUCAACUCAACCUCAACCACUACACAGAGCACUACUCAUCAUAGGGAUAGGAUUGGAGCUAAAACUCCUCUAUAUACUGUAGAAGUGCUCUUUGGCCAACCCGACAGCUUGUUUUUACCAUAUUGAACUUUUUUCA
This 474-nucleotide long non-coding RNA is filed under the name Ananas comosus (pineapple). RNAcentral describes it as "long non-coding RNA (ACOM_LNC033445)". Lineage: Eukaryota; Viridiplantae; Streptophyta; Magnoliopsida; Poales; Bromeliaceae. The record is from RNAcentral.